AGCGGUAACAGAGAGUAGCUUGCUACUUUGCUGACGAGCGGCGGACGGGUGAGUAAUGCUUGGGAACAUGCCUUGAGGUGGGGGACAACAGUUGGAAACGACUGCUAAUACCGCAUAAUGUCUACGGACCAAAGGGGGCUUCGGCUCUCGCCUUUAGAUUGGCCCAAGUGGGAUUAGCUAGUUGGUGAGGUAAUGGCUCACCAAGGCGACGAUCCCUAGCUGGUUUGAGAGGAUGAUCAGCCACACUGGGACUGAGACACGGCCCAGACUCCUACGGGAGGCAGCAGUGGGGAAUAUUGCACAAUGGGCGCAAGCCUGAUGCAGCCAUGCCGCGUGUGUGAAGAAGGCCUUCGGGUUGUAAAGCACUUUCAGUCAGGAGGAAAGGGUGGUGGUUAAUACCCGUCAGCUGUGACGUUACUGACAGAAGAAGCACCGGCUAACUCCGUGCCAGCAGCCGCGGUAAUACGGAGGGUGCGAGCGUUAAUCGGAAUUACUGGGCGUAAAGCGUACGCAGGCGGUUUGUUAAGCGAGAUGUGAAAGCCCCGGGCUCAACCUGGGAACUGCAUUUCGAACUGGCAAACUAGAGUGUGAUAGAGGGUGGUAGAAUUUCAGGUGUAGCGGUGAAAUGCGUAGAGAUCUGAAGGAAUACCGAUGGCGAAGGCAGCCACCUGGGUCAACACUGACGCUCAUGUACGAAAGC
RNAcentral lists this ribosomal RNA (700 nucleotides) under Pseudoalteromonas sp. 27AR. RNAcentral describes it as "bacterial SSU rRNA". It matches the Rfam family "Bacterial small subunit ribosomal RNA", at positions 65 to 760 of the family's 1533-position model. The record is from RNAcentral. Lineage: Bacteria; Pseudomonadati; Pseudomonadota; Gammaproteobacteria; Alteromonadales; Pseudoalteromonadaceae.